RNAcentral lists this ribosomal RNA (643 nucleotides) under Pleurotus citrinopileatus. Its description in RNAcentral is "LSU rRNA". It matches the Rfam family "Eukaryotic large subunit ribosomal RNA", at positions 49 to 675 of the family's 3401-position model. Lineage: Eukaryota; Fungi; Basidiomycota; Agaricomycetes; Agaricales; Pleurotaceae. The record is from RNAcentral.
AGCGGAGGAAAAGAAACUAACAAGGAUUCCCCUAGUAACUGCGAGUGAAGCGGGAAAAGCUCAAAUUUAAAAUCUGGUGGUCUUCUGGCCAUCCGAGUUGUAAUCUAGAGAAGUGUUAUCCGUGCUGGACCGUGUACAAGUCCCCUGGAAUGGGGCGUCAUAGAGGGUGAGAAUCCCGUCUUUGACACGGACUACCAGGGCUUUGUGAUGCACUCUCAACGAGUCGAGUUGUUUGGGAAUGCAGCUCAAAAUGGGUGGUAAAUUCCAUCUAAAGCUAAAUAUUGGCGAGAGACCGAUAGCGAACAAGUACCGUGAGGGAAAGAUGAAAAGAACUUUGGAAAGAGAGUUAAACAGUACGUGAAAUUGUUGAAAGGGAAACGCUUGAAGUCAGUCGCGUCGGCCGGGGAUCAACCUUGCUUUUGUGAGGCGUACUUCCUGGUUGACGGGUCAGCAUCAGUUUUGGCUGCUGGACAAAGGUCAGGGAAAUGUGGCACCUUCGGGUGUGUUAUAGUCUCUGAUCAUAUACAGUGGCUGGGACUGAGGAACUCAGCACGCCGAAAGGCCGGGGUUCGCCCACGUUCGUGCUUAGGAUGCUGGCAAAAUGGCUUUAAUCGACCCGUCUUGAAACACGGACAAAAGGGAG